This 576-nucleotide ribosomal RNA is filed under the name uncultured bacterium. Its description in RNAcentral is "bacterial SSU rRNA". It matches the Rfam family "Bacterial small subunit ribosomal RNA", at positions 102 to 674 of the family's 1533-position model. The record is from RNAcentral.
ACGGGUGAGUAAUACAUCGGAACGUGCCCUGAAGUGGGGGAUAACGUAGCGAAAGUUACGCUAAUACCGCAUAUUCUGUGAGCAGGAAAGCAGGGGAUCUUCGGACCUUGUGCUUUGGGAGCGGCCGAUGUCGGAUUAGCUAGUUGGUGGGGUAAAGGCCUACCAAGGCGACGAUCCGUAGCGGGUCUGAGAGGAUGAUCCGCCACACUGGAACUGAGACACGGUCCAGACUCCUACGGGAGGCAGCAGUGGAGAAUUUUGGACAAUGGGCGCAAGCCUGAUCCAGCCAUGCCGCGUGAGUGAAGAAGGCCUUCGGGUUGUAAAGCUCUUUCGGCGGGGAAGAAAUAGCGUGGGUUAAUACCCUGCGUUGAUGACGGUACCCGCAUAAGAAGCACCGGCUAACUACGUGCCAGCAGCCGCGGUAAUACGUAGGGUGCGAGCGUUGAUCGGAAUUACUGGGCGUAAAGCGUGCGCAGGCGGUUAUAUAAGUCAGAUGUGAAAUCCCCGGGCUCAACCUGGGAACUGCAUUUGAGACUGUAUGACUAGAGUGUGGCAGAGGGGGGUGGAAUUCCACGU